AUGGUUUUCUCCUAGCCAAGGCUUUCCCCUCAGCCUGCUCCUCUUCUUAAGACGCACAUCCUCCCUGUGUGACCUCAUCCAAAUGGCCACCUCACACGUGAACAAGAUUGGUUCCCUUGGCAAGGAAGAAGGUCCCUCAGAACAGCCGUCCUCCAAUGCGGAAGGAGACUAUGCAAAGGUGUGAGUACCAGGAGGUCCACUCUCAACUCCUGUCAACCCUCCUCUCUGCCCUGAUACUUUGACCUUUGUGGGCUACAUCAGAAGACUCUCUGACUUCCAGCUGGGUUUGGCCAAUAGAAGCUUCCAGCAGAAGACUGAAAAGCACGAGGAGAGUGAGUUGAAGAAACCAAGGCAUAGACAAAGCCAAUGAUUUUUCCAAGACCACAUAGCUGGAAGUGGGAUUUACAAUCACCAGGUUCACGUGACUUCAAAGUGCCCUCUCAGACAGGUCCACAUGGUGAGGAACUGGGGCCACCAGCCAACAACCAUGUCGUUGAGUCAUCUUAGACGUAGUUCCUCCAUCCUCAUCAAGCCAUCCAAGUGACACAGUGCCAGCUGAUAUCUUGACUACAGCCCCAUGAGAGACACUGAGUCAUACCCAUCCACCCACUUCUGAAUUCCUGACCCACAGAAACUGAGAUGAGAAAUUGCUUUCAACCAGUAAGUUUCGGAGUAAUUUGUUACAUAGCAAUGAAUAACAUAGACAUUUCAGAUAAUGUCUUUAGUUCACAGGACUUCAGACAGAGAGGAACUCUACUUGGAGAUCUGCACUUAAAGACUACACCUAAGGAGAUUCGCCUGCAUUGGGACCUGAUUUAAAGGAUGACGUCCUGGACUCCAGAGCUGAUGCUGUAUAGGCUUGAGACUUUUGGGAGGUAUUGAGAAGGAUGACAGUAUUUUGCAAGUGGGAGGAAUAUGACGGUUAAAGUAUGUCCACAAAGUAUUUAACAUUAUUUUCAAAAAGUGGAGUGUAAUUCCCCUCCCCUUGAGAGUGGGCUGGACUUAGUGACUCACUUCUAAUGGAUAGAAUCGAGGAGAAGUGACAGUGUGUGACUUCAGAGGCCAGGUCAUAAAAGUCACUGUGUCUUUCUGCUUGCUCUUCCUUGUGGAUGCUGAACUCUGGGGGGACGUUGUGAGCAGUCUUAUGGAGAGGCCCACAUGAAACCCAGGCCUUCUGCCAACAACCAUUUGAGUGAAUCCUUUGGCAAGUGGAUCCUCCAGCCCCAGUCAAGCCUUCGGAUGACUCCAGGCCCAGUCAGCAUCUUAACUGCAACCUCAUGAGAGAACCAGAAACCCAGUUCAGAACUAUCCACCCAAGUCACUGCCAGAUUCCUAAUCCUCAG
Molecule: long non-coding RNA, 1343 nt
Organism: Equus quagga
Lineage: Eukaryota; Metazoa; Chordata; Mammalia; Perissodactyla; Equidae
Exons: 5
Source: RefSeq, a predicted model, not a curated record